Molecule: long non-coding RNA, 732 nt
Organism: Armigeres subalbatus
Lineage: Eukaryota; Metazoa; Arthropoda; Insecta; Diptera; Culicidae
Exons: 3
Source: RefSeq, a predicted model, not a curated record
CGAAAAGAGUGCUGGAGCUGCAGACUGCUUCGUUGAUACCCAUGAGAAAUUGACAUUGAAGCAAAACUAUGCAGAUACAAGAUUGUGCCUGAAUAAUCGAUCCGGGAAAUGAUCUGCCUAAUCAGAAGUCAAACCAUAGUUCCUGCAGAACCAAACAGUCUAACUCUCUAACACUCUCCUGAAACAUGCUCACUGGUCUGGUGGUUGCCGAAGCAGGCUGUGGUAGCGUCGAAAAUCAAGUUCAUGGAGUACUCCGAACGGAUUAGAAGUUGGAAAAACGAAAACGCGCAGGCAAAACCAAAUUGGGAAGAUCAUGCACAAUCAAGAACAAUCAAAUGGACUUAGAUUAACAGAAGUAGUGGCGAACCAGUGCUAACAUGCAGCGACUUGCAGGAAGAAGAACAAGACCAUCACGACCAAAUAGCACCACAUGCUGUUCCACUCUCAUAAAAAAUAGGAGGACGUAUGUAACGUGAUGUUUCACUAACAUAAUGCAGAAUAUGAGUCUUAUAAACUAGUUGAACGUACCCGAUCUUGCUCGGGUUUAAAUUAUUUUACAUUGAAACUGUCAAUUGUAAAGUUCAUUGCAGCGCCGCACUCUAGAUCAUUUUUUACGAUCGCAUUAGGUUUCCUCCCAACUCGGGCUAAUAUUGUAUUUUGACAAUUUUUUAACUUUCCCAUCAAAUUUGCAAACUCAUUGUAUAUAUAAACACAGCUGAUCCUAAAAUUUAA